Molecule: long non-coding RNA, 310 nt
Organism: Ailuropoda melanoleuca (giant panda)
Lineage: Eukaryota; Metazoa; Chordata; Mammalia; Carnivora; Ursidae
Exons: 3
Source: RefSeq, a predicted model, not a curated record
GCAGAUCUAGAGAGCCCUCAGAUGGAGGGCUGUCGUGUGUGAAGAUGCGGUCUCCGAGGCUCAGGGACAAGGUACUCAGAGCAGCUGAGCGUGGGAUUCUUGCAGUUUGAUUCUCCUUCAAUGAAAGGAUUUAUCUCUUAAGAAUAGAGUAAAUUCAAUGCCAAGCUGAUUCAACUCUAGGGUCACAAGGAAAAAAAGGACACUUGCUCUUGGACCUCAACAACUCUGCUAUGAGGAAGACCAAAUUAGUCAUUUCAGAGAGACAAGAUGGAAAGACCCAAAUGGAGAGAAACUAGUUUUCCCAUUUCAG